AACGCUGGCGGCGUGCCUAAUACAUGCAAGUCGAGCGAAUGGAUUGAGAGCUUGCUCUCAAGAAGUUAGCGGCGGACGGGUGAGUAACACGUGGGUAACCUGCCCAUAAGACUGGGAUAACUCCGGGAAACCGGGGCUAAUACCGGAUAACAUUUUGAACUGCAUGGUUCGAAAUUGAAAGGCGGCUUCGGCUGUCACUUAUGGAUGGACCCGCGUCGCAUUAGCUAGUUGGUGAGGUAACGGCUCACCAAGGCAACGAUGCGUAGCCGACCUGAGAGGGUGAUCGGCCACACUGGGACUGAGACACGGCCCAGACUCCUACGGGAGGCAGCAGUAGGGAAUCUUCCGCAAUGGACGAAAGUCUGACGGAGCAACGCCGCGUGAGUGAUGAAGGCUUUCGGGUCGUAAAACUCUGUUGUUAGGGAAGAACAAGUGUUAGUUGAAUAAGCUGGCACCUUGACGGUACCUAACCAGAAAGCCACGGCUAACUACGUGCCAGCAGCCGCGGUAAUACGUAGGUGGCAAGCGUUAUCCGGAAUUAUUGGGCGUAAAGCGCGCGCAGGUGGUUUCUUAAGUCUGAUGUGAAAGCCCACGGCUCAACCGUGGAGGGUCAUUGGAAACUGGGAGACUUGAGUGCAGAAGAGGAAAGUGGAAUUCCAUGUGUAGCGGUGAAAUGCGUAGAGAUAUGGAGGAACACCAGUGGCGAAGGCGACUUUCUGGUCUGUAACUGACACUGAGGCGCGAAAGCGUGGGGAGCAAACAAGGAUUAGAUACCCUGGUAGUCCACGCCGUAAACGAUGAGUGCUAAGUGUAGAGGGUUUCCGCCCUUUAGUGCUGAAGU
This 841-nucleotide ribosomal RNA is filed under the name uncultured Bacillus sp. RNAcentral describes it as "bacterial SSU rRNA". It matches the Rfam family "Bacterial small subunit ribosomal RNA", at positions 32 to 852 of the family's 1533-position model. Lineage: Bacteria; Bacillati; Bacillota; Bacilli; Caryophanales; Bacillaceae. The record is from RNAcentral.